AUUGACCCGACCAAAAAUUCUAGAAAAACAAUUAGUAAGUAGAAAUAUGAGUCUAGUUUCAGGAAAAAUUUACGGAAUUGGAUUUCGAUUUUUUUAGCUCGAGAUAUGCUCUUUUUUAAACCUGGACUCCAGAAAAUAGCCUAUCCUGAAUAUGUGAUUAUAUACUAGUAUGAUUGUUUUACUUUGAUAAAUUGAAUAUCAAUUUCGUACUUACUUACUAAGUUAUAUGCUUACCUUCUUUUCUUUUCUUUGUCUUAU
RNAcentral lists this long non-coding RNA (258 nucleotides) under Gossypium barbadense (sea-island cotton). RNAcentral describes it as "long non-coding RNA (GBAR_LNC010232)". Lineage: Eukaryota; Viridiplantae; Streptophyta; Magnoliopsida; Malvales; Malvaceae. The record is from RNAcentral.